Long non-coding RNA from Gorilla gorilla gorilla (western lowland gorilla), 404 nucleotides. RefSeq lists it as uncharacterized. The transcript has 3 exons. Lineage: Eukaryota; Metazoa; Chordata; Mammalia; Primates; Hominidae. The record is from RefSeq and is a predicted model, not a curated record.
CAAGAACUCCUCUACAUCUUCAACAUUUUGUAGAGCAUUCCCUGCUAUGUGGAAAAUUCUGCUGGGCUAUUCCCUGAGGACACCUCUACCUUUUGUGUCCGGAAUUGGUGGGUUCUUGGUCUCACUGACUUCAAGAAUGAAGCCACGGACCCUCACGGCUCAAGCAUAUCUGAAUCGAGAAAAGCAGACAUGAUUGAAGCGCAUUUAUCUCCACUAAUUAAGAGGCUUAUGCCAGGCUGAGCUGAGAUUUUAACACCAGAUGAGCCUCCAUUUCAUCCCCCUACACCUGGAGAAGCUCCUGUGGGAGGAAGACUCAUGGAGACACUUUAAACUGGAAGCAAGAGACCCCAGGGAAGAAUGUUCUUAGGCAGAGGGAACAUAACAUGCUAACAUGCUAUGAGGGG